Molecule: long non-coding RNA, 890 nt
Organism: Ictalurus punctatus (channel catfish)
Lineage: Eukaryota; Metazoa; Chordata; Actinopteri; Siluriformes; Ictaluridae
Source: Ensembl
GUUUUUUUCCUUCUGUUUCUUGCAUUUAUUUUUAUUUUUUUCUUGUCUUGUUGACAGUACAUACCGUAUAACUCUCCGAAUAACGGAAAGGCUCAUGCGAUUUUUGUUGGUGCCUUAAAAAAAACGUGCUGUCUUACAGUCGAUUAAUGAGAAUUUUCAAUACUAUUUGCAUUAUUUGAACUCGACGCUGUGAAAAUGAGUCAGUUUAACUGCAGUCACUGUUGUCAGUGCGCAUGAGUGCGACUCUGAAUCGGUUCUUCACAGCACGAGACCGAGAGUGUGUGUUCAGCUCCGAGGACUGAAGGAGAGCAGGGAUGGGGAGAAGGAGCUCGGAUGCGGCUCGGAGGUUGGGAGUGAGUCUUCAGUGCCUUGGAUUUAUUGUCGUCUGCUCAGAUUUCCAGGAUAAAAUAGACGCAGGCUGAGGUAUUGUAUGGCCGAGUUCCAGAUGUACGUUCUCAUUACAUGUAUGAUUUGUAGAGUAUUGUUAUUAUUGUGAAUAUAUGCAUAAAUCAUAUUUGUUGUACACACUCCAGUAAAUAUUACAUGCAGUGUAAAGUCUGAUAAUAAGAAGAAUGUUUAUUUUUUCAGUAUAAUGUGCUUUACUUUGAAGUGAAAAUGUAUACUUUCUGAAUAUUAGAAAUAUUAUACGAUCUGUACAGUCUAAGUACUAGAUCAAAAGAUCAAAGCUGAAUGUUAUAAGGGCUGUUACGAUCACCUGCCUUUUAUUUAUUUUUAACACCUGACAUUUACGCCAUAAUCCUUAAAGUGCAUUUCUACUCAACGGAAGCUUCACCUACUAAUGUCAAUUAAAAAGGAGUCAGACGGGGUAGGCAGGGGUAUACAGGCGUAGACAGGGGUAUACAGGCAUAGACAGGGGUAGACAGAGGUAG